Molecule: long non-coding RNA, 2269 nt
Filed under: Brassica napus (rape)
Lineage: Eukaryota; Viridiplantae; Streptophyta; Magnoliopsida; Brassicales; Brassicaceae
Description: long non-coding RNA (BNAP_LNC007887)
Source: RNAcentral
CAUUAGAUUUUGAGAUUUGGGUUUACAGUUUAGGGUUUUGGGUUUAUAUUUGGGUUUAGGAUUUAGUAAUUAGUGUUUAGGGUUUAGUAAUUUCGAUCUUAAACUUGGUCAUUUGGAAAAUGUAAAUGGAGUGGACCAGUACAACUAUACUAUUUAUAGCGGUUCCAUACUAUGUCGUCUACCUUGAGAAAAUUGACAACAUAUUAUAUAGAUCUUGUUUGGGUUUAUACUUUAGUUAUUUGGGUUUAGAUUUAGUAAUUAGGGAUUUGUCUAGGGUUUUAGUAUUUAAGUGGGCGAGUAGAGUUUAAUUUUUAUGGUUUAUAUUUGGGUUUAUGGUUUAGUGAUUAGAGUUUAGGGUUUAUAUUUGGGUUUAGGGUUUAUAUUUGGGUUUAAGGUUUAGUGAUUAGGGUUUAGGGUUUAUAUUAGGGUUUAGGAUUUAGCGAUUAGGGUUUAGGAUUUAGUGAUUAGUGUUUAGGGUUUAUAUCUGUGUUUAGGGUUUAGUGAUUAGGGUUUAGGGUUUAUAUUUGAGUUUAGGGUUUAGUGAUUAGGAUUUAGGGUUUAGUGAUUAGUGUUUAGGGUCUAUAUAUGGGUUUAGGGUUUGGUGAUUAGGGUUUAGGGUUUAUAUUUGGGUUUAUAGUUUAGUGAUUAGGGUUUAAUAAUUUUCUUUUCAAACUAGAGUUUAGAGUUUAGGGUUAAUAUGUCAUGUCUUCAAAUUUGAUAUUUCUCUUCUAUGCAAUUUUGUAUGAUUGCUCGUAAUGUAAAAUUAGUUUCAUUCAAAUGUUUGACAAUGUUUGGGUAUUGUCUAGUUCAAGAACGUCUUUUUCAUCAACAAGUACUUUUAUUUUUUCUUCUACUAUUUUACAUAUGAUUCCCAACUAACAUAAAUAGAACAAACAUUUGUAUACUAUUUUAUACAAUGUUCCAUACUAUGUAUGUAUAGUCUUGAAAAUAUUAUAAAAUAUUAUAUAUUUCAGAUUUUGAUUUUCUCUUAAAUAUAUAUUAUAGUUUAGAUUUGGGUUUAGGAUUUAGUGGCCAUGAUUUAGAGUUUAGUUUAGGGAUUUGUCUAGGGUUUUAGUAUUUAAGUGGGCGAGUAGAGUUUAAUUUUUAUGGUUUAUAUUUGGGUUUAUGGUUUAGUGAUUAGAGUUUAGGGUUUAUAUUUGGGUUUAGGGUUUAUAUUUGGGUUUAAGGUUUAGUGAUUAGGGUUUAGGGUUUAUAUUAGGGUUUAGGAUUUAGCGAUUAGGGUUUAGGAUUUAGUGAUUAGUGUUUAGGGUUUAUAUCUGUGUUUAGGGUUUAGUGAUUAGGGUUUAGGGUUUAUAUUUGAGUUUAGGGUUUAGUGAUUAGGAUUUAGGGUUUAGUGAUUAGUGUUUAGGGUCUAUAUAUGGGUUUAGGGUUUGGUGAUUAGGGUUUAGGGUUUAUAUUUGGGUUUAUAGUUUAGUGAUUAGGGUUUAAUAAUUUUCUUUUCAAACUAGAGUUUAGAGUUUAGGGUUAAUAUGUCAUGUCUUCAAAUUUGAUAUUUCUCUUCUAUGCAAUUUUGUAUGAUUGCUCGUAAUGUAAAAUUAGUUUCAUUCAAAUGUUUGACAAUGUUUGGGUAUUGUCUAGUUCAAGAACGUCUUUUUCAUCAACAAGUACUUUUAUUUUUUCUUCUACUAUUUUACAUAUGAUUCCCAACUAACAUAAAUAGAACAAACAUUUGUAUACUAUUUUAUACAAUGUUCCAUACUAUGUAUGUAUAGUACUUGAAAAUAUUAUAAAAUAUUAUAUAUUUCAGAUUUUGAUUUUCUUUUAAAUAUAUAUUAUAGCUUAGAUUUGGGUUUAGGAUUUAGUGGCCAUGAUUUAGAGUUUAGUAAUUAGGAGUUGGAUUUAGAGUUUAGUAUGAUAUUUUCCAUCUUUAUAUACUAUAGUUUAAUAUCACAAAAUAUUAUAUAUAUUUUCAGAUUUUAAUUUUAUUUAAAAUUAUAAAUAUAUAAUAUAGUUUACAUUUGAGUUUGGGUUUAGUGGUUCAUUUAGGCUUUAGUAUUUAAAAGUUGGAUUUAAUGAAAUGUUUGUGGUGAUAUGAAGUAAAAUUAAUGAAAUGUUUGUGGUUAUGUGUAUGUGAUGUGGCUGUGUUAUCUUCCUUUUGUUGGUGACAGUUUGCAUUAAUUAUUGGCCACAGUUGGAUUUUGUCAACGUCAUCUCCACAUCUUGAAGCCACCGGCAACUUGUAUGAAUCAAGGGUAAAACCGGUGGAAAUGAAACACAAUUGAUAGAUACUACAUUAUGUCAAAAUCAG